Molecule: ribosomal RNA, 440 nt
Filed under: uncultured bacterium
Lineage: Bacteria
Description: partial 16S ribosomal RNA
Rfam family: Bacterial small subunit ribosomal RNA
Source: RNAcentral
CCUACGGGCGGCAGCAGUGGGGGAUAUUGCACAAUGGGGGAAACCCUGAUGCAGCGACGCCGCGUGUGGGAAGACGGUCCUCUGGAUUGUAAACCACUGUCCCCAGGGACGAAGAUGACGGUACCUGGGGAGGAAGCUCCGGCUAACUACGGGCCAGCAGCCGCGGUAAUACGUAGGGAGCGAGCGUUGUCCGGAAUUACUGGGUGUAAGGGGAGCGUAGCCGGGGCUGCAAGUUGGGGGUCAAAUCUACCGGCUCAACCGGUAGCCGCACUCAAAACUGCAGUUCUUGAGUGAAGUAGAGGCAGGCGGAAUUCCUAGUGUAGCGGUGAAAUGCGUAGAUAUUAGGAGGAACACCAGUGGCGAAGGCGGCCUGCUGGGCUUUUACUGACGCUGAGGCUCGAAAGUGUGGGGAGCAAACAGGAUUAGAUACCCUUGUAGUC